This 256-nucleotide ribosomal RNA is filed under the name uncultured bacterium. RNAcentral describes it as "partial 16S ribosomal RNA". It matches the Rfam family "Bacterial small subunit ribosomal RNA", at positions 524 to 777 of the family's 1533-position model. The record is from RNAcentral.
UACGUAGGGGGCAAGCGUUGUCCGGAUUUAUUGGGCGUAAAGAGCGUGUAGGCGGCCGUACAGGUCAGCUGUGAAAACUCGAGGCUCAACCUCGAGACGUCGGUUGAAACCGUACGGCUAGAGUCCGGAAGAGGAGAGUGGGAAUUCCCGGUGUAGCGGUGAAAUGACGCAGAUAUCGGGAAGAACACCCGUGGCGAAGGCGGCUCUCUGGGACGGUACUGACGCUGAGACGCGAAAGCGUGGGGAGCGAACGAGG